AUGGCGUCGGGAUCAAGCUCGAAGGGGCGGCAUGGCAAGGAGACGACGGAGGAGCUGCUAGCCAGGUUGAAUUUGCAGGAGGAGGAAGAUGAUGAUUUCGUGUGGGAGGAGGAGUUGCCGGAUCUGGGGGCGCCGGCGAAGUGGCUAGCCAUAGCCAGGGUACACACUACAAGGACUUUCAGCCCUAAUGCUCUUUAUGGGGACAUGCGUGCAGCCUGGAAUCCAGCGAAAACGGUGGUCUGGAGGAAGGUGAAGGACAACUUGUUCACAGCGCAGUUUGGUUGUCUAGGGGAUUGGAAUAAGGCCAUGCUAGAGGGGCCAUGGCUUUUCAGAGACCAAGCAGUGAUUUUGGUGGAGUAUGAUGGGUUCAAAAACCCUGAUAGCAUCAAGUUGGAUAAGUUGGCAGUUUGGGCGCAAAUCCAUCGUUUACCUGACAACUUUUUGAUCGAGCCUGCAGUCAGGGGGAUGGCAUCGCGAAUUGGCGAGGUGGAAGAAGUGCAGCUCAAGCUACCGGCAGGUUUCUUUGGUGAAUUUGUCCGGGUGAGGGUGAAAACGAUAUCAACGCAAAAAUUAAGAGGUUUGUCACUGGAAAGAAGGGGGAUGAACGAGUUAGAUAUCAAGUAA
RNAcentral lists this ribosomal RNA (624 nucleotides) under Triticum aestivum (bread wheat). RNAcentral's name for it is "partial small subunit ribosomal RNA". Lineage: Eukaryota; Viridiplantae; Streptophyta; Magnoliopsida; Poales; Poaceae. The record is from RNAcentral.